GAUGAACGCUGGCGGCGUGCCUAAUACAUGCAAGUCGAGCGAACAGACGAGGAGCUUGCUCCUCUGACGUUAGCGGCGGACGGGUGAGUAACACGUGGAUAACCUACCUAUAAGACUGGGAUAACUUCGGGAAACCGGAGCUAAUACCGGAUAAUAUAUUGAACCGCAUGGUUCAAUAGUGAAAGACGGUUUUGCUGUCACUUAUAGAUGGAUCCGCGCCGCAUUAGCUAGUUGGUAAGGUAACGGCUUACCAAGGCGACGAUGCGUAGCCGACCUGAGAGGGGUGAGCGCCCACCUGAGACCGGAACCCGGCCCCAGCCCCCUCGGGGGGGAGCAAGAGGGGAUUCUCCCGAAAGGGGCGAAGCCCGGAGGGACCACCCCCGGGUGGGGAAUAAAGUUUUUCGUAUCUAAAAGCUUUUUUAUUAGGAAAAAAAAAAUGUGUAAGUAACUAGGCACUUCUGGACGGACCCUAAUCAAAAGCCCACGCCAACCCCGGGC
Molecule: ribosomal RNA, 498 nt
Filed under: uncultured bacterium
Lineage: Bacteria
Description: partial 16S ribosomal RNA
Rfam family: Bacterial small subunit ribosomal RNA
Source: RNAcentral